RNAcentral lists this long non-coding RNA (935 nucleotides) under Ursus maritimus (polar bear). RNAcentral's name for it is "lncRNA (ENSUMAG00000018544.1)". Lineage: Eukaryota; Metazoa; Chordata; Mammalia; Carnivora; Ursidae. The record is from RNAcentral.
CAGAGUGUUAACAUUGAUUUUCUGGAGAAGGAAAGGCAAUAUGAAUACGGAAACAAUUUUUUAAAAAGGCAUUUAGGGACACCUGGGUGACUCAGUCAGUUAAGAGUCCACCUUGGGCUCAGGUUAUAAUCCCAGGGUCCUGGGAUUGGAUCCCACAUUGGGUUCCUUGUUCAAAGGGGAGCUUACUUCUCUCUCUGCUCUCCCCCAGCUCGUUCUCUCUCUCUCUCUCUCUCUCUUUCUCUCUCAUGUGCACAUUGUGCGUGCACAAAAAAAAUAAAAAUACUUAAAAAAAUAAAAAGGCAUCUAGGAUAAUAACCAUUUUUGCCAACUUUUUGUAAACUAACACUUGUGUGUGCAUAUAAAUGCAUAGAAAGGCAGACCAAGGGACAGACAUCAACAUUAUAAGGGUGAAUUUUCUCAGAGUAGGAGGAUUUCAGUUGAUUUUAAUUGUCUUUCUUUUUCUUUUCAGCAAACUUAAAUUUUUACCGUGAUCAACAUUAUUUUUUUCAUUGUGGGGGAGAAAAGUUGUGUGUGGGGGUCAGAACCAGCAUUUUAAACACACUCUCCAGGCCACUUGUUCGCCGACUGACAUUUGAGAACUUGUCUCCAUUAUCCUUAGGCUGUGUUGUUUCACAUGGUCUCCUCCUCUGGAAGACAUAGUGGGUCAGCAACAACCCGCCUUCUAAUCAGAGAUGGCUGUGCCAGCUGGAGGACCGAUUGCCUCACACACCUUGGAGGCCCAGGCAGGAAGGAAGGUGGGCCUUGGCUANNNNNNNNNNNNNNNNNNNNNNAAGAGAUCUUUCUUGGAGGUAGGCCCUGCGCACCUGUGCCUUCUUGGACCCAGGACUGCCAAGAGGAGAUGGCCAUUGACAAGGAGCAGUUGCUACCAUGAGCAUUGCAUCUUGAGAAGGAGCCAGAGAACAGCAGGAAGGUGA